GAUGAACGCUGACAGAAUGCUUAACACAUGCAAGUCGAUGGGGAAGUGGUGCUUGCACCAUGGUAACCAUGGCGGACGGGUGAGUAACGCGUAAGGGACUUACCUGCAGGACUGGGAUAACAGGGGGAAACUCCUGACAAGACCGGAUAAUGUCAUGGAGCUGCAUGGCUUUAUGAUUAAAGGAGACGCCUGCGGAGAGCCUUGCGUCCUAUUAGCUAGUUGGUGAGGUAAGGGCUCACCAAGGCGAAGAUAGGUAGCCGGCCUGAGAGGGUGGACGGCCACAAGGGGACUGAGACACGGCCCUUACUCCUACGGGAGGCAGCAGUGGGGAAUAUUGGACAAUGGGGGCAACCCUGAUCCAGCAAUUCUGUGUGCACGAAGAAGGUUUUCGGAUUGUAAAGUGCUUUCAGCAGGGAAGAAGGAAGUGACGGUACCUGCAGAAGAAGCGA
RNAcentral lists this ribosomal RNA (449 nucleotides) under Leptotrichia sp. oral taxon 212. RNAcentral describes it as "bacterial SSU rRNA". It matches the Rfam family "Bacterial small subunit ribosomal RNA", at positions 28 to 493 of the family's 1533-position model. The record is from RNAcentral. Lineage: Bacteria; Fusobacteriati; Fusobacteriota; Fusobacteriia; Fusobacteriales; Leptotrichiaceae.